This 406-nucleotide ribosomal RNA is filed under the name uncultured bacterium. RNAcentral describes it as "partial 16S ribosomal RNA". It matches the Rfam family "Bacterial small subunit ribosomal RNA", at positions 30 to 526 of the family's 1533-position model. The record is from RNAcentral.
AUUGAACGCUGGCGGCAGGCCUAACACAUGCAAGUCGAACGCGGGGCGCACGGGUGUGUUAUGUCUGGGAAACUGCCCGAUGGAGGGGGAUCAACACUGGACACGGUAGCUAACACCGCAUACCCUCGGAAGCGCAUAGAUGGGAUUAUAUAGUAGGUGGGGUAACCGCUCACCUAGGCGACGCUCCCUAGCUGGUCUGAGAGGUUGACCAGUCACACUGGAACUGAGACACGGCCCAGACUCCUACGGUAGGCAGCAGUGGGGAAUAUUGCACAAUGGGCGCAAGCCUGAUGCAGCCAUGCCGCGUGUAUGAAGAAGGCCUUAGGGUUGUAAAGUACUUUCAGCGGGGAGGCGUUACCCGCAGAAGAAGCACCGGCUAACGCCGUGCCAGCAGCCGCGGUAAUAC